CCUGGCCUCAAGCCAUCCUCCCACCUCAGCCUCCCAAAGUGCUGGGAUUACAUGCAUGAGCCACCACAUCCAGCCUCCCUAAAAUAUUGAAUGCUGUUAAUAAAUCUCCUAAGAAGGUGAUGGGCAAAACUAAUGCAGUAGGAGCUGAAAUCGACCAGGGGGUUCUUAUCCAACAGACAGCAGCAAAACUCUUUGUGUAUCUGCGUUCCUUUCAACAAGUGUGACUUCCUCAAUGGCAUCAUUUGUGAGCGUAACACAGAGCUCAGCAAUAACGUUUCUUCACUAACCCUACCAGGGUUUCAGUUGUGCAAUUUCACCAUUAGCAAAGCUUUUUGCUGAAAUCUGGAUUUUCAAAGGGAGAGUAUCCAGAAACAGAAGAUGCUGAUCUGGGAGGCUCUUCCUAAUAGAACUGCUGCUUCAGUUUAGCUUGAAAAAGCCCACACUCAGUUCCUAAUGACAAACAUCUGAACACCAGGUCUUCCCACGAGCAAGACCAUGCUAUUCCUCCUGCUCGCUCUGUUCUAUAAGCAACCCACAGAUUGCUCCCUGUGAAGAGGAGCCUGCCAGGGAGCAGCAUUCCACCAGAUCCUGAUUUAGCAAGAUAUUUCCGUAUCAUUCCCCCAACCAGCUGGAAGUCCUCCACUGUUCUUGUGUAAAAAUCUAACUCAUCUCGCUGAAUUUCCUGAUUUAAAAGUCUAAUUCAUUUCACCAAAAGUGUGACAGAAGGAAACCAAGUACACCAUCUCUCUCUUACCAAACCAAAGCUAUUGCAUGUGCAUUCUGGGAGAAAAAAAUGGUCCAAAUAUGUUAUGGAGGGGGUGCCAGCCCAGUGUCAUCCUCUUACUAUUGCCAUAGGAUCUUGGCUGAUGGCAUCAGAAGAAAAACAAGUUUAUCGAUUACUUUCAACCAUUAAGCUCACUCCUCCAUGAAAAAUAAGUCACAAGUCCAAUGUCUCUUAUUAAAAUAAGCACUGCAAAAUAUAAAGGACUCACAGUUUUAAAAUGGGACACACGUUCUCUAAGCGGUGAACCACUUUAGAGGUGUACUGUUUACAUUGUAUAAAGUCCCCUGGAGCCAGGGUUAGGAAGCGCAUCUGUUCUUUGGUGUUCUGGGAUGAAGGAGAAAGGAAAAUGUGCUGCCAGAAGUGAGUGGGAAGGAGCCCAUGAGAUAAAGGAAGUAAAUCCAUUUGCUGAUUGCAAUAAUAAUGGUAAUACACGAAGCUAUACAUACAUACAUACAUACAUACAUACAUACAUGCAAACUUUCACAUUUUUUAAAAAAAGAACUUAAGGCUUCCACACAUGUAAUCAGCCCUUAUGAACUCUCCUGAUUAGCUGCAAGGAAAAUCUUCCUUUCUCCUUUUUCCUGCACCAUCCUGGGCUCCCUUUUGACUUUUUUUUUUUUUUUUUUUUUUUAACUUAUAAACGAUCAGCUCAUAUUCCGAAGUUUGUAGUCCCCUCCCGUCCCCUCUCUCUCUAUACCGCUCAUUUACAUUGGCAGCUGUCGUGCUGCUGGGCAUCCUCAAACCCACCAGUUUCCCUUUUAUGUUUGAGCAGACAAACAUGAUCAUGCACUAGGCAUCACUGUGCCACUCAAAAUGCUUUGUUUUUUUAUUGCAUCUGAGAGAAAUCUCAAGGUUGCAAACCUGGAGUCAGAAUUGUCUCCAUGUGUCUCAGUGGGAAGAGUAUCGUGUGAAGAAAUAAGUUGAUUCUACUAAUCAAAAGGAAUUUUUUUUGAUAUCAGGUCAUCCUCCGAAUGAAUUUAUAUUACCGAGUGGAGGGUCACAUGAAGAAAAUGGUCAAACAGCACCACCUACAGCAAGAGCUGAGAAGUGCAGCGGAGCCGGGCUGAGUCAGGAAAGAAAAGCAAGCUGGGGCCUGGCUCAGAGCUCUCCCCUCUGCUCCUGUCUGCACGGAAAGAUUAGGAUGACAGUGGCAGGAAGCCUGUGCACCUAGUAUGCAUCACUUGAAGGGAACACACAGAUUCCAGUAAACAGUUGGAAGGAAAUGUUAAUACCAGGCUCUGCUAAACAAUAUGAAAUGACUCCUAGAUGAGACAAGUGACUUUCAUCAAAGUUUCCUGAUACCUGAAAAGAUAGCCCAGGUGAUCCUGCACUACAUCUGCUGUAUGUAAAUUAAGCGGGUUUUUUUCCCCUUUGUAAUCAAGGCUCAUACACAAACAAAAUCACACUUUAGAAACGGCUUAUUUCAACUUGUAACUAGCUUGCUUUCAGGGGCUCCAGGUCAAAAAGAAAUAGAGCACAAAGACGCUUUCUCCUUAGGGAUCAUACACAAAUUCACUCUGUCCGUUUCUUUCCCACAUGGAGCAACAAAGCCAUCAGACCUCUCCAUCCACCCAUCGGGUCCUUCCUGAUUAAAGUGAGAUAAAUCACAGCCCUCUCUCUCCAGAUGGCAGGCGACAAGAGGGGGAUGCUUGCCUCAAGAAGUCCUCCCCAUCCCUCUGCAUUCAUGCAAGCCCGAGCGGAGAGAUGCAAGAAAUUAUGGAUGCAUUUUAAUUGCCCAGACCCUGCAAUUAAAAAUGGAAAUUUUUUGGCCACGCGUGUUGGCUCACGCCUGUAAUCCCAGCACUUUCGGAGGCCGAGGUCGGCGGAUCAUUUGGGGUCAGGAGUUCGAGACCAGCCUGGCCAACAUGGUGAAACCCUGUCUCUACUGAAAAUACAAAAAUUAGCUAGGAAUGGUGGUGGGAGCCUGUCGUCCCAGCUACUCGGGAGGAUGAGGCAGGAGAAUCACUUGAACCCGGGAGGCAAAGUUUGCAGUGAGCCAAGAUCGCACCACUGCACUCCACUCUGGGUGACAAAGCAAGACUUCAUCUCAAAAAAUGUUUUUUAAAAAUGGAAGUGUUGUUCUUUCAUUUGUAAAUGUGUUUUGGUAAAAGAGGGGCAGUUUAAGCAACCCUUUUUUGUUGUCUACAUUGUUAAAAUUCAUCAGACAUGGACUCUUGACUCCGUUUUGCCUGGGCAGACCCAAUUCAAGCAUUUACAACAGCUAUAACUUCCUCAAAUCAAAAAGAGGAAUCAGCAUUAUUGCUAAGUUCAAAUAAGGUCUUGUUUUAUUUCAUUUUUAUUUUUGAAUGCAGCCAUUCCUCCAGGUGCUAUCAUCAGGUAAGAUUGUCAGUCCUGAUUAGGUAAAGGUAUUAUUACAAAAUGCAAUUCUUAAAAAUUCAGUGUCUAACUACACUUUUAAUAAGCCUUUCCCCCUCCCCUAUGUAUUCUCCCUUAGACACCCCUUCUCAAAUUUAAAAUCACAGAAACUAAAAUAUGAUGCCUAAAGAGAGCCUAGCAACUGCCCAGUCCUCUAAUUUGAUGAGUGGGAGUACUGAAGCCCAGAGGAGGUCAAGUAAUUUGUUCCCAAUGUCUUAGAUAAGAAGAAAAUGACCAGCUGGGAAAUCCCACUCAUGUCAAGGCAGAGGCACAGGGCCACAGACUGUGGUUGAAUUGUGCCACACUCCUACAUCCUUCUUUAGGAAUCACAGAACAUUCCUGUGUUGAGUUGGAGUCACUGACUUCCUUUUCAGGCUGAUUGAGUUCUGUCCUUACAGGCUGCGACAAGAAGUUUUGGUAUUAUGCUACACCAAGACCAUUUAUCUAGUUCAAGAAAUGAGCACAGUCCUUAGAGCCCAGCAACUUUCCCCAUGUCCAGUAAAUGUAGCUUCUCCAUUAGAAGCUGUCAGAAUGGAGCCUUCUGGCUCAUCUUGAUUUUGAUUUGUGCAAGAAUGAAUGGUUGUGCUAAGACAGCUUUCCUAGCUGAUAGUGAGCAAAACUUUUUUCUCAUAAUCUAUAAAAAAAUAUUAAAUUAGAAGCACAGAGUUUAUUUCAUGACUUUUAUCUUCCUGCAAUUUUCUUAUGGGCAUAAAUGAUUUGUUUUUAUCCUGCCUGCCCCCCCAAUCCCUUUUCCAAGAGACUAAAAGAGUAUCUAGUGCAAAGUAGAUACUCAAAUAUUUUUUAAUAAACAGUGAUCCCAGCCACCCAGUGCAUGUUGCCAAAUGCCAACCCCAUAAAUGAUCAAACACAUCAUCUCAUUCAGCCAAUCAAAAUCAAGUGCUACCUAUUUUUUUAAGUUUUCAUAGCCCUUGGGCAUCUGCUUUCUCAGCAUUUCCCAAACUUGAGUCAUUCUCAUCCUGCCUUCAUAAUUUUGCUCUGUCAAUUACCUCUACUAUUAUUUAUUUCAUAUAUUUUUAAAUAGCCCCACUUUUGAAACUUAAAUACAUGCCUUUUAAAAGGAAGCUUUCUUACUACUAUACAUCAAAAGCCAUUAUUACUUGUUCUAAGUACUCAUAACAACAUAUUCACAACUAUUAAAAUUUAGUAAUGUGCAUCCACAUACUCUCUAAAUUCAUGGAGCAUCUGCACACACUUUAAGAAACAAUUCUGCAUUACUCACUCAAUUUUCUUGACAUCCUUCUGAGGCAGGACAAACCUUGGGCCCAAAGAAUUGAGGUAGGAGUCCAAGCAAGUUGCCAGCCACAUAAAGGCAAACCUUGGCUCGGAAGUCAGGACCUAGGUUAUGGUUCAUGCUCUUUCCUCUGCUCUCCAGAACCUCCUAUCUCCAAGUGUAGUUAGCAGCCCAGAUGCAGCAGCAUCCCCUAGAGACUUGUUAAAAAUGCAGAAGCUCAGGCUCCACCCCAGGCCUAUGCAGACUGAAUCUGCAUUUUAACAAGGUCCAGGUAAUUCACGUGCACAUUAAGUUUGAAAAGGCCUGGUCUAGAUCAGCAGUUCUCUAACUUAGCAGCACAUUAGAACCAUCUGUAGAGACUUUAAAAAUACCAGUGCCUGGGCUUCAUCUCCCGGAGAAUCUGAUUUAAGUGUCUGGGGUUUGCCCUGAGUCUAGGUAUUUUUUAGAACUCCUCAGCUUAUACAAAGCUGGCAGGGCCGGGCA
Homo sapiens (human) is the source of this 4895-nucleotide long non-coding RNA. RefSeq lists it as uncharacterized. The transcript is spliced from 3 exons. Lineage: Eukaryota; Metazoa; Chordata; Mammalia; Primates; Hominidae. The record is from RefSeq and is a predicted model, not a curated record.